AUGAAGAUAAGUCUUACAAACGGGAUUUAUAAUGUAUACGAAUUUAAAGAAGCCCAUAACCAUAGUCUUGCUACUGGAAACAUGCCGCAAUACUUAAGAUCACACAGAAACAGGGCCACGAAGGUGACCGCCGAGGAGGGAGGGCCCGCAGCUCGCCCACGAGCGCCUCGCCGGGCGACGGAAGCUGCGGCCUCAGGGACGGCGCGCAGCUCGCCUACGAGCGCCGCACUGGGCGAGGGACGCCAUGGCCGCAGGGAUGGUGAGCAGUUUGCUGACGAGCGCCGCGCGCGGAGGACCACGGAGAUGACGCGCUCCCCGAGGAAGACAACCAGCCGGAUGAGCCAGCUUGCAGCGAUGUCCAGGACCCUCCUGCUCGGACAUGCUAGCAAAUCGAGGUCACGGCGCUCGCCGUCGAGAUGUCUCCCGGCCGUGGAGAAGCUACUGCUUUGGCUGUGGGGAAAGUAA
This 465-nucleotide ribosomal RNA is filed under the name Triticum aestivum (bread wheat). RNAcentral's name for it is "partial small subunit ribosomal RNA". The record is from RNAcentral. Lineage: Eukaryota; Viridiplantae; Streptophyta; Magnoliopsida; Poales; Poaceae.